CAAAAUUCUACAUUUAGGUAUAAAUAAUCAACUCUAAUAUGGAUCAACUGAAGAGGAAAGCAGGAAGUGUGAUAAGAAAUUGAGAAAUGUUGCCUCUGAAGAAAACUGGAGGGAUCUGGUUUAUCUCUUGGAGAAAAGAGGAGACAUAAUAUGCAAUUUUCCCCAGGAAAAGCCCCAAGAUGUCCAAAGGGCCAUGAGUCUUUUCCAGAUUCUGCAUCUUGUCUGCCAACCCCAGCACCAAGGAUGUAUAUUUGCUUGAAAAUGUCUAAAUGGAAGAAAAAACAUAUAGUAUUUCAGUU
This 299-nucleotide long non-coding RNA is filed under the name Cyanistes caeruleus (blue tit). RNAcentral describes it as "lncRNA (ENSCCEG00000000969.1)". Lineage: Eukaryota; Metazoa; Chordata; Aves; Passeriformes; Paridae. The record is from RNAcentral.